This 227-nucleotide long non-coding RNA is filed under the name Gossypium barbadense (sea-island cotton). RNAcentral describes it as "long non-coding RNA (GBAR_LNC005250)". The record is from RNAcentral. Lineage: Eukaryota; Viridiplantae; Streptophyta; Magnoliopsida; Malvales; Malvaceae.
AAAAACAAGAUACUAUUCUAGACACGGUCAACAAAAUUUUGGAACGUCUAAGUACCAAAAUUGAGUGUCGAAACUGUAAUUGGGGAGAUAAGGUUGACCAGCCUCGUCUUCUUCCAAAUAAUGUUAGUCGUGCACCUCACACAAAUAAUGAGACUUUUGUCAAUAAUGAUAAUGGGCAACCUUCUUUGGCUAAACCAAAUUUCUCAAUUUCAUAAUUUCAUGUAAAG